GGAAUAUAGCUCAGUGGGUAGAGGGCUUGCUUCACAUGCACAAGGCCCUGGGUUUGAUCCCCAGCACCA
Molecule: transfer RNA, 69 nt
Filed under: Marmota monax (woodchuck)
Lineage: Eukaryota; Metazoa; Chordata; Mammalia; Rodentia; Sciuridae
Description: tRNA.Val
Source: RNAcentral